RNAcentral lists this transfer RNA (74 nucleotides) under Parcubacteria group bacterium ADurb.Bin192. Its description in RNAcentral is "tRNA-Gln". It matches the Rfam family "tRNA". Rfam says of the family: Transfer RNA (tRNA) molecules are approximately 80 nucleotides in length. Their secondary structure includes four short double-helical elements and three loops (D, anti-codon, and T loops). Further hydrogen bonds mediate the characteristic L-shaped molecular structure. tRNAs have two regions of fundamental functional importance: the anti-codon, which is responsible for specific mRNA codon recognition, and the 3' end, to which the tRNAs corresponding amino acid is attached (by aminoacyl-tRNA synthetases). tRNAs cope with the degeneracy of the genetic code in two manners: having more than one tRNA (with a specific anti-codon) for a particular amino acid; and 'wobble' base-pairing, i.e. permitting non-standard base-pairing at the 3rd anti-codon position. The record is from RNAcentral.
AGGGGCUUAGUUCAGUUGGCAGAACAGCGGACUUUGAUUCCGCAUGUCGGUGGUUCGAAUCCAUCAGCCCCUGC